GAUGAACGCUGGCGGCGUGCCUAAUACAUGCAAGUCGAGCGAACGGACGAGAAGCUUGCUUCUCUGAUGUUAGCGGCGGACGGGUGAGUAACACGUGGAUAACCUACCUAUAAGACUGGGAUAACUUCGGGAAACCGGAGCUAAUACCGGAUAAUAUUUUGAACCGCAUGGUUCAAAAGUGAAAGACGGUCUUGCUGUCACUUAUAGAUGGAUCCGCGCGGCAUUAGCUAGUUGGUAAGGUAACGGCUUACCAAGGCAACGAUGCGUAGCCGACCUGAGAGGGUGAUCGGCCACACUGGAACUGAGACACGGUCCAGACUCCUACGGGAGGCAGCAGUAGGGAAUCUUCCGCAAUGGGCGAAAGCCUGACGGAGCAACGCCGCGUGAGUGAUGAAGGUCUUCGGAUCGUAAAACUCUGUUAUUAGGGAAGAACAUAUGUGUAAGUAACUGUGCACAUCUUGACGGUACCUAAUCAGAAAGCCACGGCUAACUACGUG
Molecule: ribosomal RNA, 497 nt
Filed under: uncultured bacterium
Lineage: Bacteria
Description: partial 16S ribosomal RNA
Rfam family: Bacterial small subunit ribosomal RNA
Source: RNAcentral